Molecule: ribosomal RNA, 495 nt
Filed under: uncultured bacterium
Lineage: Bacteria
Description: partial 16S ribosomal RNA
Rfam family: Bacterial small subunit ribosomal RNA
Source: RNAcentral
GACGAACGCUGGCGGCGUGCCUAAUACAUGCAAGUAGAGCGCUGAAGGAGGAGCUUGCUUCUCUGGAUGAGUUGCGAACGGGUGAGUAACGCGUAGGUAACCUGCCUGGUAGCGGGGGAUAACUAUUGGAAACGAUAGCUAAUACCGCAUAAGAGUAGAUGUUGCAUGACAUUUGCUUAAAAGGUGCAAUUGCAUCACUACCAGAUGGACCUGCGUUGUAUUAGCUAGUUGGUGGGGUAACGGCUCACCAAGGCGACGAUACAUAGCCGACCUGAGAGGGUGAUCGGCCACACUGGGACUGAGACACGGCCCAGACUCCCACGGGAGGCAGCAGUAGGGAAUCUUCGGCAAUGGACGGAAGUCUGACCGAGCAACGCCGCGUGAGUGAAGAAGGUUUUCGGAUCGGAAAGCUCUGUUGUAAGAGAAGAACGAGUGUGAGAGUGGAAAGUUCACACUGUGACGGUAUCUGACCAGAAAGGGACGGCUAACUACGUG